This is a small nucleolar RNA of Callithrix jacchus (white-tufted-ear marmoset), 133 nucleotides long. NCBI's taxonomy places the organism in Eukaryota, Metazoa, Chordata, Mammalia, Primates, Cebidae. The record is from Ensembl.
GUGCAAACUCGAUCACUAGCUCUGCAUGAUGUGGCAGAAGCGAAGGGAACCAGGUUUGCGAAAGUAAUUGUGGUGAUAGAAAUGUGUUAGCUUCAGACACUACUGAGGUGGCCCUUUCUAUCCUAGUACAGUC